Molecule: long non-coding RNA, 1316 nt
Filed under: Chrysemys picta bellii (western painted turtle)
Lineage: Eukaryota; Metazoa; Chordata; Testudines; Emydidae
Description: lncRNA (ENSCPBG00000022209.1)
Source: RNAcentral
UCCAGGCAGAAGUGCUGUGGGGGAGAACACGGGAGGAACUAAGGAACUUCCUAGUCACACAGCCCAUCACUGGCUGGGAAGGGAGGAGCAUCCACUCCCUUGGGGAAAUAGUAUGGUCCUCACUGGUUCUUAUGCGCAGCUGUCACAUGCAGGAGAUGUCCGAACGGUACAUUGUGCUGUUCCCCUUCCAGCUGUUGAUUCUAUCAGUGGAUCACAUGAAGAAGGCGUUUGUCUACCAGGGCCUGCUUCCGCUGGCGGGGAUGAGUGUGAGGGAUGUGCCGAGUGACACCGGCUGCAUGUUUGAAAUGAUGGGGCCCAUGAUAGAAUCCAGGAUCAUCUCAUGCCCGAGUCCAGCUGAAUUCCACAUCUGGGUUCUCAGCAUCCAGCAGCACAUCAAGAUGGCAAAUGCUCACUGUCCAGCCCACCCCAGCAGUAUCAUUCCUUUCCUGGUUCCAUGUGAUGAGCAGUGGAAGAAACGGAAGCUGAUGAAGCAUCUGUUUUACACCACCAUUCUGAAGUGGGAAGGGAAACCCAUCCAGCACCUAGGACGGAUACACUACCUGGCCAUGGUGCAGGUGGCUUAUGCCAGCAUGGGGGACUUUAAAGAGCGGCUGCUGGUGCUGUUUCCAGAGGAUCUGGUUUUCCUCUCCGUCGACAGAGAGAGAACCUGCAUUGCGUAUGAGGGAAAACUCCCUCUAGCUGGGAUCCAGGCAAAGGAGAAAUCUGCUGUGCUGGGGCGGCUGGAAUUUGAAAUCACCGGAAGCCUGACGGAACCGAUCCUGGUCACCUGCUGCACCGCUGAAGAUUAUGAAAAAUGCCUCUUCUACCUACAAAAGCCUGAGCAAAACCUUGACACGGUGACUGUCCAGCCACCACCCAUGGUGCCGAAGAAAUCGCUGCAGCGUUAGAACUAUGGAGCCUAUGGAAAAGGCCCAGUGACAGCGCUGACUGUAGGGGCCAAACUGAUGGCUAAGGAUGUUGGAGGAAGGAGCCCACCACUGGCAAAACUAGAGAUGGACCAGAAAUAACUUGAAUCCAAACCCCUCCAGACUGAGAAGGUUGAAUUGUGAGUCCUCCAUCUGAACCUACCCUGUGGGGUAUGGUCCCCAGCUGGACUCAUUCAUUUGUGCCCAGAUUAGCUGCUGUUCCCGAUGGCCUGUUGGAAUCCCCUGGAUAUAAUCCCGGUUGAUCAGACUCCUUGGGGAGGAAUCCUUCCUGGUUUGAUCACUUUAUUUAUUGGCUGCUGCUGCUUGGAGAGAGAAAUAACCUAAGGUAGUGUGUAAAUAGGAUGAAUAAAACCCAUCAGCCCAAAUCCA